This 233-nucleotide unclassified non-coding RNA is filed under the name Glomus sp. RNAcentral's name for it is "partial contains 5.8S ribosomal RNA and internal transcribed spacer 2". The stretch from base 1 to 71 matches the Rfam family "5.8S ribosomal RNA", at positions 84 to 154 of the family's 154-position model. The record is from RNAcentral. Lineage: Eukaryota; Fungi; Glomeromycota; Glomeromycetes; Glomerales; Glomeraceae.
GUGAAUCAUCAAAUUUUUGAACGCAAAUUGCACUCUCUGGUAUUCCGGAGAGUAUGCCUGUUUGAGGGUCAGUUUAAAUAAAAAUCGGUGUGGUUGUUCCCUUUCGUGGUGGCGCAGCGGAUUUUGGUCGUCUUGCCUUCGGUUAAGUGACCUAAAAUUUUACAUGAUUUUGUUCGAUCGUAUUUUAGUUAUUUUACUGAAGUUUGCGAUAUACAAUACUAGGUUUGGUCGUU